AUGGCGACCACCAAGAAGAGGGAGAUGGUGUUCUUCGACGUGGAGGCGGCGCAGUCCCCGUCGCCGCCCGGCGAGUGCCGCCUGCUGGAGUUCGCUGCCACCCUCGUCUGCCCGCGCCGCCUCGUCGAGGUCUCCAGCUACUCCACCCUCAUCCGUCCCGACGACGUCGCCAACGACGGCAGUGUCCACCUCCCCUCCUCGGCCCCCUCGUUCGAGGACGUCUUCCCGGACAUCUUCGAGCUGCUGGACGGCCGCGUGUGGGCGGGCCACGGCAUCCGGCGCUCGGGCUGCCUGCGGGUGCGCGAGGCCUUCGCCGCCUUCGGCCUGCCCGCGCCGGAGCCCGUGGGCGUCGUCGACUCGCUCGACGUGCUCCUCGCGCAGGGCAGCUUCGGGCGGGCCGUCGCCGGGGACGACGGUCAGGACGAUGAGGCGGCGUCGGCGGCCCUGGCGGAGCACUUCGGGAUCGGCGCGCGGCGGGCGCGGGGGCUCCGGUGCCUGGACGGCGCCCGCGUGAGCCUCGAGGUGCUCAAGCACUGCGCCGGCGUGCUGCUGCUCGAAUCCAGCCUCCGCGGCGACGUGCCCGCCGGCGCCAGCCGCAGGAGCACGCCCACGCCUAGCAGCAGCAACAACAACAACACGUUGGAGAAGGCGUUUGCCCGCGCGUCGGCCAAGACGACGACGCCGGCGAAGGCGGCCACCGCUCCUACUCCUCCGUCUCCUGCUGCUGCUUCUCCGGCGGCUGUUCAGAAGGUGAGUACGAGCACGGGGAAGAGGGACAGCACGGGGAAGGUGGUGGUGGUGGUGAAGAAGGGAGCGACAGCGGCAACUGUGACGACAACGACGGCUACCGGAGGUCGCCGGGUGCGGCCGCCGGCGCCGCCGUUCAGCAUGAUCCUCAGGCACUCGAGGGCCGUCAUCAGAUGA
This 924-nucleotide ribosomal RNA is filed under the name Triticum aestivum (bread wheat). RNAcentral's name for it is "partial small subunit ribosomal RNA". Lineage: Eukaryota; Viridiplantae; Streptophyta; Magnoliopsida; Poales; Poaceae. The record is from RNAcentral.